This 1795-nucleotide unclassified non-coding RNA is filed under the name Hevea brasiliensis (rubber tree). The record is from RNAcentral. Lineage: Eukaryota; Viridiplantae; Streptophyta; Magnoliopsida; Malpighiales; Euphorbiaceae.
GAGCUAGGCGGAAUAGAGAUGAAUACAAAUUGGUUCUGAAGGUUCACCAAAGUUUUCAGCUUCAUGCGCUGAAGCAGACACCUCUGGAUGAUGUGGAGCGCUUGGAUCCCAGCAAGAUAAUUGGUAGGCUUAAGCUGCCAAUGACCUUGGGAACAGAACAAUUACAGACUUGAAGGAGAGAGCACUUUAGACUUGAUUGUUGGUUUAGGAGAUAGAAACACACAUUUAGUUUCCUGUCAUCCCGUGUACCAAGAAAUUAAGGUGCUAAUCAGUUCAAAACUUCCCGAUGGAUCAAAAGAAGCAGGGGAUAAGGAUCAUUAUUCUAUCCUUUACAACAAAUUUAUUUUAGAAAAGAAAAAGGAGGUCUACAAAUUAUUUAAGAUUAGUAUCUAUUCAUGCUUGCAGCACUUUAAAAAUAAAUAACCAAAUUAUUUAAUGUAAGAUCACAUGUGCAAAUUUUCCAUGCUGAAAAAGAACAGAAUAAGAUGAGGGAUUCCCUUGGAGUUAUCACAAGUUACCACCAAGGAAUGAGUAUCAUGGUCAUGGGUCCAAACCUAUUGCAUGUAAAAGAGGAAGUUCAGAGACACGCAUGCAAAGAGAACUGAGAUCUUAGAAAUGCUCCUCCAGUCCCACCCUACCAUAACUGUCCACCCACAACCUGCCCCUUUCCCAAAAUUUAGGGGCAAAAAGCAACUUCAUCUACAUAAGCACCUCCUUCAGUCAAUGAAAUUCAUUAUAAAAGAAAAAAAGACAUGCAUAAUCAGCAUAGAAAAGACUCAGCAAAAACUCAAUGAGAAAUAAGGGGUUAAAGAAGAAUAAGCAACCUAGCAGGCUUAAAACGCUAUAAGCAAAAACAACCACUCCUAUGAAUGGCAUCUAGGACUAGCCAAAAACCAACCCUGCCUUGCCACCAGAACACCAUAACAUUAUCUGCAAUUAACUCAAUGUCCAAAGUCAGUUGGGCAAAGCAAGAUCCCCAGAAAGAUGCUAAAUUUCAUGGUAUCAAUCUUACUGAAAUUUUUGCUUUUCAAAUCUCAGUAUUUAUUAGAAUAUGUGGAUAGAAUAAGAAGGCCAAACCAAGUAGAAGGCUAAGGCCUAGGAGCAAACAAGAGGAGAGGCAAACCAAAAAUGACGUGGGCAGAAUUGGUACAAAAUCAUGUAGCGUUAUAAUUCAUCAACAGGUCAUAGAAAGUCCCUAAGCAGAAAAGAAAAGAGAACAAGAUCCAAACAGCUAAUUUGGGAUUGACACUUGAUUGAAUUGAGCAUGAACCCCAAAGAAACAUACAUAGGAAGAAAUGUCAAUGAAUGACAAUUGAAAUACUUAAUAGGAUAUUACCUUCCGUUUAAUAGGCAUAGAUGAGUUGGCAACUGGCUUAAAAAAUGAUUCCAAUCUGUCAGAGAAAUGAAACAAGGCAUGAUAAGAAAAUGAAAAAAAAAUUGACGAGUGCAAAUCAGUCUAGAGCUUCAACGAGUUGCAAUUCAUCCCAGCUUCUAAAACUUGCAAUUUAAACACUAUGCAUUGAAAAGUGUUUGAAUAUGGUCUGUGUGAGCUAAGCAAUUAGUUUCACACCCAUAAAUCAGAAAAUAGUAGUUAACACUGAUCUGUACCUUUAACAUUCUAGAAAACAAAUUUAAACCAGGCAACUGCCUUGCAAGCAGAAAAUAAGAACUUCUGCCGGAAAGGUGGCAUAGCACACAAAAUUAUCACCAUAAGCAUAUGAUGGAUACCGAAAAUUAAAAAAGUGAAAGACCAUAAAGGGGUAUGAUUAACACUUGUUAUGGAAAGUCAAUCACU